GGUAGGAUGGCUGAUAUAGGCAUUAGACUGUAAAUCUAAUUAUAAAGGUUGUAAUCCUUUUUCUACCA
RNAcentral lists this transfer RNA (68 nucleotides) under Phyllomys dasythrix (Drab Atlantic tree-rat). RNAcentral's name for it is "tRNA-Tyr". It matches the Rfam family "tRNA". From Rfam's summary of the family: Transfer RNA (tRNA) molecules are approximately 80 nucleotides in length. Their secondary structure includes four short double-helical elements and three loops (D, anti-codon, and T loops). Further hydrogen bonds mediate the characteristic L-shaped molecular structure. tRNAs have two regions of fundamental functional importance: the anti-codon, which is responsible for specific mRNA codon recognition, and the 3' end, to which the tRNAs corresponding amino acid is attached (by aminoacyl-tRNA synthetases). tRNAs cope with the degeneracy of the genetic code in two manners: having more than one tRNA (with a specific anti-codon) for a particular amino acid; and 'wobble' base-pairing, i.e. permitting non-standard base-pairing at the 3rd anti-codon position. The record is from RNAcentral. Lineage: Eukaryota; Metazoa; Chordata; Mammalia; Rodentia; Echimyidae.